AGAUUGAACGCUGGCGGCAGGCCUAACACAUGCAAGUCGAGCGGUAGAGAGGUGCUUGCAUCUCUUGAGAGCGGCGGACGGGUGAGUAAUGCCUAGGAAUCUGCCUAGUGGUGGGGGAUAACGUUCGGAAACGGACGCUAAUACCGCAUACGUCCUACGGGAGAAAGCGGGGGACCUUCGGGCCUCGCGCCAUUAGAUGAGCCUAGGUCGGAUUAGCUAGUUGGUGAGGUAAUGGCUCACCAAGGCGACGAUCCGUAACUGGUCUGAGAGGAUGAUCAGUCACACUGGAACUGAGACACGGUCCAGACU
Molecule: ribosomal RNA, 309 nt
Filed under: uncultured soil bacterium
Lineage: Bacteria
Description: bacterial SSU rRNA
Rfam family: Bacterial small subunit ribosomal RNA
Source: RNAcentral